GCGCCUGUGGCUCAAUUGGAUAGAGCGACAGCCUACGGAGCUGAAGGUUGGAGGUUCGAUUCCUCCCAGGCGCA
RNAcentral lists this transfer RNA (74 nucleotides) under Omnitrophica WOR_2 bacterium RBG_13_41_10. RNAcentral describes it as "tRNA-Arg". It matches the Rfam family "tRNA". From Rfam's summary of the family: Transfer RNA (tRNA) molecules are approximately 80 nucleotides in length. Their secondary structure includes four short double-helical elements and three loops (D, anti-codon, and T loops). Further hydrogen bonds mediate the characteristic L-shaped molecular structure. tRNAs have two regions of fundamental functional importance: the anti-codon, which is responsible for specific mRNA codon recognition, and the 3' end, to which the tRNAs corresponding amino acid is attached (by aminoacyl-tRNA synthetases). tRNAs cope with the degeneracy of the genetic code in two manners: having more than one tRNA (with a specific anti-codon) for a particular amino acid; and 'wobble' base-pairing, i.e. permitting non-standard base-pairing at the 3rd anti-codon position. The record is from RNAcentral. Lineage: Bacteria; Pseudomonadati; Candidatus Omnitrophota.